UGGGAGCCUUGUGUGUGGCCCUGUGCUGCUGACUCACCAGGCUGAGGAGAGCGAAAACAUGCUAGGGAUGAAGAAGGGGCCUGUUAUGCCCUGCCACCACCUCCAAACCGCCCUGCCACCCCAGAUUGCUUUUGGUCAGGGGCUUCCUGAGGACACCAGCUGCCCCGAGGAGACUGACCCAGAGGUUUCCGAAGUGUCUCUCAUUUGAUUCCAUUAAAAGCAACCAGAAUCAGAAGUUCCCAUGGCCGAUGCUUGAGGGUGGAUUUGAAUGGAGACGUGACUUCACUACUCAAGAAGUGAUGCAGGAAAACGGAGAAUGACUUAAGUUUUCAAAAGCACGAGAAAAUCAGCACCCCAACUGCUAAGUGUU
Molecule: long non-coding RNA, 370 nt
Filed under: Mus caroli (Ryukyu mouse)
Lineage: Eukaryota; Metazoa; Chordata; Mammalia; Rodentia; Muridae
Description: lncRNA (MGP_CAROLIEiJ_G0003421.1)
Source: RNAcentral